RNAcentral lists this ribosomal RNA (239 nucleotides) under Escherichia coli. Its description in RNAcentral is "partial 23S ribosomal RNA". It matches the Rfam family "Bacterial large subunit ribosomal RNA", at positions 1646 to 1867 of the family's 2925-position model. The record is from RNAcentral. Lineage: Bacteria; Pseudomonadati; Pseudomonadota; Gammaproteobacteria; Enterobacterales; Enterobacteriaceae.
ACCCCAAACCGACACAGGUGGUCAGGUAGAGAAUACCAAGGCGCUUGAGAGAACUCGGGUGAAGGAACUAGGCAAAAUGGUGCCGUAACUUCGGGAGAAGGCACGCUGAUACGUAGGUGAAGUCCCUUGCGGAUGGAGCUGAAAUCAGUCGAAGAUACCAGCUGGCUGCAACUGUUUAUUAAAAACACAGCACUGUGCAAACACGAAAGUGGACGUAUACGGUGUGACGCCUGCCCGGU